RNAcentral lists this ribosomal RNA (211 nucleotides) under Alexandrium margalefii. RNAcentral describes it as "partial Bacterial small subunit ribosomal RNA". It matches the Rfam family "Bacterial small subunit ribosomal RNA", at positions 314 to 542 of the family's 1533-position model. Lineage: Eukaryota; Dinophyceae; Gonyaulacales; Pyrocystaceae. The record is from RNAcentral.
UGGGACUGAGACACGGCCCAGACUCCUACGGGAGGCAGCAGUGGGGAAUAUUGCACAAUGGGCGCAAGCCUGAUGCAGCCAUGCCGCGUGAAUGAUGAAGGCCUUAGGGUUGUAAAAUUCUUUCGCCAGGGAUGAUAAUGACAGUACCUGGUAAAGAAGCCCCGGCUAACUUCGUGCCAGCAGCCGCGGUAAUACGAAGGGGGCUAGCGUU